This 422-nucleotide ribosomal RNA is filed under the name uncultured archaeon. Its description in RNAcentral is "partial 16S ribosomal RNA". It matches the Rfam family "Archaeal small subunit ribosomal RNA", at positions 323 to 746 of the family's 1478-position model. The record is from RNAcentral.
CUACGGGUUGCAGCAGGCGAGAAAACUUUGCAAUGUGCGAAAGCACGACAAGGUUAAUCCGAGUGGUUUGUGCUAAACGAACCUUUUGACAGUCCUAGAAACACUGUUGAAUAAGGGGUGGGCAAGUUCUGGUGUCAGCCGCCGCGGUAAAACCAGCACCUCAAGUGGUAAGGAUGAUUAUUGGGCCUAAAGCAUCCGUAGCCGGCUCUGUAAGUUUUCGGUUAAAUCUGUACGCUCAACGUACAGGCUGCCGGGAAUACUGCAGAGCUAGGGAGUGGGAGAGGUAGACGGUACUCGGUAGGAAGGGGUAAAAUCCUUUGAUCUAUUGAUGACCACCUGUGGCGAAGGCGGUCUACCAGAACACGUCCGACGGUGAGGGAUGAAAGCUGGGGGAGCAAACCGGAUUAGAUACCCCCGUAGUC